GACGAACGCUGGCGGCGUGCUUAACACAUGCAAGUCGAGCGAUGAAGUUCCUUCGGGAAUGGAUUAGCGGCGGACGGGUGAGUAACACGUGGGUAACCUGCCUCAUAGAGGGGAAUAGCCUUCCGAAAGGAAGAUUAAUACCGCAUAAGAUUGUAGUACCGCAUGGUAUAGCAAUUAAAGGAGUAAUUCGCUAUGAGAUGGACCCGCGUCGCAUUAGCUAGUUGGUGAGGUAACGGCUCACCAAGGCGACGAUGCGUAGCCGACCUGAGAGGGUGAUCGGCCACAUUGGGACUGAGACACGGCCCAGACUCCUACGGGAGGCAGCAGUGGGGAAUAUUGCACAAUGGGGGAAACCCUGAUGCAGCAACGCCGCGUGAGUGAUGACGGUCUUCGGAUUGUAAAGCUCUGUCUUCAGGGACGAUAAUGACGGUACCUGAGGAGGAAGCCACGGCUAACUACGUGCCAGCCGCCGCAGUAA
Molecule: ribosomal RNA, 478 nt
Filed under: uncultured bacterium
Lineage: Bacteria
Description: partial 16S ribosomal RNA
Rfam family: Bacterial small subunit ribosomal RNA
Source: RNAcentral